RNAcentral lists this ribosomal RNA (578 nucleotides) under Arthrobacter sp. I14A-01142. RNAcentral describes it as "bacterial SSU rRNA". It matches the Rfam family "Bacterial small subunit ribosomal RNA", at positions 95 to 687 of the family's 1533-position model. Lineage: Bacteria; Bacillati; Actinomycetota; Actinomycetes; Micrococcales; Micrococcaceae. The record is from RNAcentral.
GUGGCGAACGGGUGAGUAACACGUGAGUAACCUGCCCUUGACUCUGGGAUAAGCCUGGGAAACCGGGUCUAAUACCGGAUACGACCUUUCACCGCAUGGUGGUUGGUGGAAAGAUUUUUUGGUUUUGGAUGGACUCGCGGCCUAUCAGCUUGUUGGUGAGGUAAUGGCUCACCAAGGCGACGACGGGUAGCCGGCCUGAGAGGGUGACCGGCCACACUGGGACUGAGACACGGCCCAGACUCCUACGGGAGGCAGCAGUGGGGAAUAUUGCACAAUGGGCGAAAGCCUGAUGCAGCGACGCCGCGUGAGGGAUGACGGCCUUCGGGUUGUAAACCUCUUUCAGCAGGGAAGAAGCGAAAGUGACGGUACCUGCAGAAGAAGCGCCGGCUAACUACGUGCCAGCAGCCGCGGUAAUACGUAGGGCGCAAGCGUUGUCCGGAAUUAUUGGGCGUAAAGAGCUCGUAGGCGGUUUGUCGCGUCUGCUGUGAAAGCCCGGGGCUCAACCCCGGGUCUGCAGUGGGUACGGGCAGACUAGAGUGCAGUAGGGGAGACUGGAAUUCCUGGUGUAGCGGUGAAAU